AAAUGAAUUGACGGGGGCCCGCACAAGCGGAGGAACAUGUGGUUUAAUUCGAUGAUACGCGAGGAACCUUACCCGGGAUAGAACGUCUGUUGCAUAAUGGUGAAAGUCAUUAGUCGCAAGACAGCAGGCGAGGUGCUGCAUGGUUGUCGUCAGCUCGUGCCGUGAGGUGUCGGGUUAAGUCCCAUAACGAGCGCAACCCCUGCCAACAGUUGCCAUCAAGUAAAGUUGGGCACUCUGUUGGGACAGCCGGUGUAAACCGCGAGGAAGGCGGGGAUGACGUCAAAUCAGCACGGCCCUUACAUCCGGGGCUACACACGUGUUACAAUGGCCAUUACAGAGGGCAGCAAAAUAGCGAUAUAGAGCGAAUCCUCAAAAAUGGUCCUAGUUCGGAUCGGAGUCUGCAACCCGACUCCGUGAAGCCGGAUUCGCUAGUAAUCGCGCAUCAGCCACGGCGCGGUGAAUACGUUCCCGGGCCUUGUACACACCGCCCGU
Molecule: ribosomal RNA, 492 nt
Filed under: uncultured bacterium
Lineage: Bacteria
Description: bacterial SSU rRNA
Rfam family: Bacterial small subunit ribosomal RNA
Source: RNAcentral